CGGAGUAGCGGUAAAAUGCGCAGAUAUUGGGAGGAACCCCGAUGGCGAAGGCAGCUCCCGUGGGAUGCACAUGACGCUUCGUGGCGAAAGGUAUGGGAGGCAACCGGAUUAGAGACCCUUGUAGUCCCAGCCGUUAACGCUUGCUGCUACGUGUGGGAGGUCGACGUUCUGUGUGUGAGCAAACGCGAUAAGCAUCCCGCGCGGGAGUUACGGUCUCAAGGGUAAAAAUCUAAAGAAAAGAGGGGGCGCCGCACACGCACGGGAGAGCAUGGUUCAAUUUGAUGCUACACGAAGAACCUUACCUGGGUUUGACACAUAUUUGGUACGAAGGGGAAAGCCUAACGUCCCUUUGGGGAGCGUACACACAUGUGGCACGGGGGUGUUCAGAUCGUGCCCUGAGGUGUCGGGUUAAGUGUCGUAACGAGCGCAACCCUUGCCUUUAGUUACAAGUGUAUAAGGGGAUGGCACUCGGGAAGCCGGAGGAAGGUGGGGAUGACGUCAAGUCAGCAUGGCCUCAAUGUCCAGGGCUCCUCACACGCUACAAUGGUCAGUACAAACAGUAGGGAAGUCACGAGGCGGAGACAAUCUCAACAAAGGUGAUUGUAGUUAGGAUUGCAGCAGGCAGGAUCGGAGCAUGAAAUUGGAGUCGGUAGUAUCCGAAUCUCUAGUAAUAGUGCGGUGAAUAAUUACCCGGGAAUUGUACACACGGCCCGUCACGUCAUGGGAGUCGGUAACAUGGAAAGCGGGGCACCGGAAGCUAAGGGCCGGCGCGGUCGAAGGCGGGUCCGGCAACUGGGACGAAGUCGUAACAAGGUAACCAAGGGCGAA
RNAcentral lists this ribosomal RNA (828 nucleotides) under uncultured organism. Its description in RNAcentral is "bacterial SSU rRNA". It matches the Rfam family "Bacterial small subunit ribosomal RNA", at positions 671 to 1510 of the family's 1533-position model. The record is from RNAcentral.